Long non-coding RNA from Chelonia mydas (Green sea turtle), 2048 nucleotides. RefSeq lists it as uncharacterized. NCBI's taxonomy places the organism in Eukaryota, Metazoa, Chordata, Testudines, Cheloniidae. The record is from RefSeq and is a predicted model, not a curated record. The transcript has 3 exons.
AGUGUGGUAAAAGACAGAAGGCUAAUGGAGGGCUUUAAAGAGGUGGAUAAAGCAGCAUGAAAGGAAGGUGACUUUACCAGGAGUACUUAAGCCAGACUGUAUGUCUAUCCAGAUGUUCCUUUCAAGCCUACAUGACUUAAAAUCUGCCCCAGGAGUCUGAUCAAAGUGCUCUGCAAAGUCAAAUGAGCAUUGUCAUCCCCAUGUUACAGAAGAGGAAACAGAAGCACAGAGAAGUUAACUGAUUUUCCUGAUGUCACAGAACAAGUUAAUGGCAGAGCCAGGAGCAGAAUGCGGGUAUCCUGAAGCCCAUUCUGGUGCCUUAACAUAGGACCAUGCUGCCUCCCAGAAAGAAGAAACUGCUUCCCUGCCUACUGCUCCCCAACAAUGCUGAUAUAUGGGGCCUGGGAAUCAAACCUAGGUCUCAUAUAUCACAGGUUGCUAAGCCACGCAGUUGAUCACAAAAAUGUAAAAUACAUUGUAUGUUGUGUACUAUUAAUAUUGCAAUUAAGUUAAAUGAGUAAAAUAAAUGUUUGAGACCCAAAAUGAGUAAAAUAUAUGUUUGAGGCCCAAUAUGGUACAUUUUAUAAUGAAAUUAAUUCUCUGUAUAUUUUAUUAAGUAUAAUACAGUGUGGUAAGGCUUCUGAUAUGAAUCAGUCUGCAGUGGUUCAGGAGAAUGAUGAAAAUGUCCAGCAGUCUUUUCAGUCCCCCCAUAUUUAUAAAGGAAAUGCUAUUAUUAAAUAAAACAGCAAAUGCAUCAGUGUAUCCAGGAAAGAUCAAAUCAAAUGAGUCAGAACAGGCAGGGUAUUGCAAUUCAGAGCUUAAAGAGGUAACUAACCAUAGCCCAUAUCCUCAGCACAACACUGAGGCCCAGUGACUCAGCUGGCAGCUAGGAAAAUCCAGGGAGAUGGCGGAAGAACAAAGAUGAAAUAAACCUCCUUACGCUGUAAAAAAUAAAAGGGGCUAUUCUGUGACCACUGCUCCAGUGGAAUGACAGGAAAGGUGGCCCUUUGCCGUCCCCUGCAUGGAUGCAUGGUGCUAAUGACAGGAGAAUCUCUUUAUAUGGCUCCAAGCCACUUAGCCUCUGCCCAGCCUCCUUAUAAGACACACAUAAGAGCACAGGUAGCUUGUGUGUAACUGAAUUCCUUAUCUCACAGGGACUCACAUGCAUUCCCUAGCUGUGUGGAGGAGCAGCGCACAUACAAUUCCCUUCUUCCCCAGUAUGCAUCUUCCCUAGGGGCGCCUCAGGGAACUUUCUGCAGGCAGGGCAGGGUGGGAGGUAGGAGGGGGAGCUCCUGAUUCCUCUCCACUUUGGGUUCCAGAGUUGAGAUCUGUGCACAGAUGGCUCCUUUCACAUGCAAAUUCCAAGGACACAAGCUGGCCCUAAGUAAGGAUCCCUAAGUAAAGGAUUUGUACCUAAUCAUAGGGGCUGGAACUAGGGAUGCUGGGGGUGCACCCCCAGCUUAAAAUGGUUUCCAUCAUAUGCAGUGUUUAUAGUUUGGUUCAUUGACUCACAGCACCCCCUCUAUACAAAUUGUCCCAGCACUCCUGGCUCUAAUGGGAGUUUUACCGGAGAAAGGACAGAGUAAAUCUGGCUAAGCCCCAGGAGUGGCCUUGUGUUUCAUCAGGAGAGUGACAGUGCUUUAAAAUGUCCAGCUUGCUUGUCUUGCUAAUCUAAAAAAUAUAAUAAUUCCCUCCCUUUUUAAUAGGCUAAAUUCACCUCUCGGGGACACCGGAGCAGCUCCCUUUGACCCAGGUGUGAGCUUAGACCAGGACAGAGUUUGGUCUUCACCAUCUAAUUAUCCAGAGACAACAUGAAAAGACACACAAUUUUCCUUUGACACGUCUCCAUAUUUUUUUCUUCCUUUAUCCAGUAUUUAAUCACUGUCCUGAUUCUGAAGUGAAUAAUACAAGAGACUCAGUGGGAAGACAAACAAAUUUGUUAGAGCUUUUUCUGUUUCUUUUUGUAAGCUUCCUGUUAGCUUAAGCACAUUGUGUUCCUCUGUAUCACAUCCCUUUAGAGCCAUAUGUGGAAGUAAUAAAGUGUAUCC